ACAAGCAGCGGAGCAUGUGGUUUAAUUCGAAGCAACGCGAAGAACCUUACCAAGACUUGACAUCCCCUGACAGCUGUUGAAAGGCAGUGUCUCUUCGGAGCAGGGAGACAGGUGGUGCAUGGUUGUCGUCAGCUCGUGUCGUGAGAUGUUGGGUUAAGUCCCGCAACGAGCGCAACCCUUAUCCUUAGUUACCAGCACGUAAAGGUGGGGACUCUAGGGAGACCGCCGGGGACGACUCGGAGGAAGGUGGGGACGACGUCAAAUCAUCAUGCCCCUUAUGUCUUGGGCUACACACGUGCUACAAUGGCCGCAACAGAGGGAAGCGAGAGCGCAAGCUGGAGCAAAACCCUAAAAAGCGGUCCCAGUUCGGAUUGUGGGCUGCAACCCGCCCACAUGAAGUCGGAGUUGCUAGUAAUCGCGAAUCAGCAUGUCGCGGUGAAUGCGUUCCCGGGCCUU
Molecule: ribosomal RNA, 456 nt
Filed under: uncultured Lachnospiraceae bacterium
Lineage: Bacteria; Bacillati; Bacillota; Clostridia; Lachnospirales; Lachnospiraceae
Description: bacterial SSU rRNA
Rfam family: Bacterial small subunit ribosomal RNA
Source: RNAcentral